UACGUAGGGAGCAAGCGUUGUCCGGAAUCAUUGGGCGUAAAGCGCGUGUAGGCGGCCCGGUAAGUCCGCUGUGAAAGUCGGGGGCUCAACCCUCGGAUGCCGGUGGAUACUGUCGGGCUUGAGUACGGAAGAGGCGAGUGGAAUUCCUGGUGUAGCGGUGAAAUGCGCAGAUAUCAGGAGGAACACCGAUUGCGAAGGCAGCUCGCUGGGACGGUACUGACGCUAAGGCGCGAAAGCGUGGGGAGCGAACAGG
This 253-nucleotide ribosomal RNA is filed under the name uncultured bacterium. RNAcentral's name for it is "partial 16S ribosomal RNA". It matches the Rfam family "Bacterial small subunit ribosomal RNA", at positions 524 to 776 of the family's 1533-position model. The record is from RNAcentral.